AUACAAAACCAAUGCGGAGCAAUCCGGUUUUUGGUGAAUCAUAAUAACUUAACGGAUCGCAUGGCCUUGUGCCGGCGAUAGUUCAUUCAAAUUUCUGCCCUAUCAACUUUCGAUGGUACGGUAUUGGCCUACCAUGGUUA
RNAcentral lists this ribosomal RNA (140 nucleotides) under uncultured eukaryote. RNAcentral describes it as "partial 18S ribosomal RNA". It matches the Rfam family "Eukaryotic small subunit ribosomal RNA", at positions 214 to 352 of the family's 1831-position model. The record is from RNAcentral.